RNAcentral lists this ribosomal RNA (484 nucleotides) under uncultured bacterium. RNAcentral's name for it is "partial 16S ribosomal RNA". It matches the Rfam family "Bacterial small subunit ribosomal RNA", at positions 30 to 507 of the family's 1533-position model. The record is from RNAcentral.
AUUGAGCGCUGGCGGCAGGCCUAACACAUGCAAGUCGAGCGGAUGAAGGGAGCUUGCUCCUGGAUUCAGCGGCGGACGGGUGAGUAAUGCAUAGGAAUCUGCCUGGUAGUGGGGGAUAACGUCCGGAAACGGGCGCUAAUACCGCAUACGUCCUGAGGGUGAAAGUGGGGGAUCUUCGGACCUCACGCUAUCAGAUGAGCCUAGGUCGGAUUAGCUAGUUGGUGGGGUAAAGGCCUACCAAGGCGACGAUCCGUAACUGGUCUGAGAGGAUGAUCAGUCACACUGGAACUGAGACACGGUCCAGACUCCUACGGGAGGCAGCAGUGGGGAAUAUUGGACAAUGGGCGAAAGCCUGAUCCAGCCAUGCCGCGUGUGUGAAGAAGGUCUUCGGAUUGUAAAGCACUUUAAGUGGGGAGGAAGGGCAGUAAGUUAAUACCUUGCUGUUUUGACGUUACCAACAGAAUAAGCACCGGCUAACUUCGUG